Molecule: unclassified non-coding RNA, 261 nt
Filed under: plant metagenome
Description: partial contains small subunit ribosomal RNA, internal transcribed spacer 1, and 5.8S ribosomal RNA
Source: RNAcentral
UUUCCGUAGGUAAACCUGCGGAAGGAUCAUUAUUGUAUAACCGAGGUGCGAGGGCUGUCGCUGACCCGAAAGGUCGUGCACGCCCGAGUGCCCUCACACAUCCAUCUCACCCCUAUGUGCACCACCGCGUGGGUCCCCCUUUGGCUUGUUCGGAGGGGGGCUUACGUUUUCACACAAACUUUGUAUGCAGUGUAGAAUGUACUUUUUGUUUUUGCGAUCACGCAAUCAAUACAACUUUCAACAACGGAUCUCUUGGCUCUC